RNAcentral lists this ribosomal RNA (482 nucleotides) under uncultured bacterium. Its description in RNAcentral is "bacterial SSU rRNA". It matches the Rfam family "Bacterial small subunit ribosomal RNA", at positions 30 to 507 of the family's 1533-position model. The record is from RNAcentral.
AUUGAACGCUGGCGGAAUGCUUUACACAUGCAAGUCGAACGGCAGCACGGGGCAACCUGGUGGCGAGUGGCGAACGGGUGAGUAAUACAUCGGAACGUGCCCAAUCGUGGGGGAUAACGUAGCGAAAGUUACGCUAAUACCGCAUACGAUCUACGGAUGAAAGCGGGGGAUCGCAAGACCUCGCGCGAGUGGAGCGGCCGAUGUCAGAUUAGGUAGUUGGUGGGGUAAAGGCUCACCAAGCCAACGAUCUGUAGCUGGUCUGAGAGGGCGACCAGCCACACUGGAACUGAGACACGGUCCAGACUCCUACGGGAGGCAGCAGUGGGGAAUUUUGGACAAUGGGCGCAAGCCUGAUCCAGCCAUUCCGCGUGCAGGAUGAAGGCCUUCGGGUUGUAAACUGCUUUUGUACGGAACGAAACGGCGAGCUCUAAUACAGUUUGCUAAUGACGGUACCGUAAGAAUAAGCACCGGCUAACUACGUG